This is a long non-coding RNA of Gadus macrocephalus (Pacific cod), 6001 nucleotides long. RefSeq lists it as uncharacterized. The record is from RefSeq and is a predicted model, not a curated record. Lineage: Eukaryota; Metazoa; Chordata; Actinopteri; Gadiformes; Gadidae. The transcript has 2 exons.
CAUGGCGACCGCCGGUUUGGGGGAAUCGGUCUGUCACAGCUGCUCAGUGGAACCGAAGUCUAAAGGAGAACCUGUGUUCUGGGAUCAUACCAUGACAGUGAGGGCCUCGUAACACACACACACACACACACACAGACACACACACACACACACACGCACGCUCGUGGCACAAGCACGCACCGACAGACAGACAGACAGACACACACAGACACAUGCCCACACACAGACAGACAGAAAGACAGACAGACAGACAGACACAUGCACACCUACAUACACACACACACGCGCUCGCACACACACAAACACACACACACACACACACACACACACACAGGCAGACAGACAGACACUUGCACACACACACACACACACACACACACACACACACACACACACACACACACACACACACACACACACACCACACACAGACACACACACACCACACACACACACACACACACACAUAGACACAGACACACAAACACACACGCAGGCACACAGAUACACACACACAAACACUCACGCACACACAUAGACACACACACAUAGAGAGACAAAAACACGCACACAUACAUACACACACACACACACACACACAAACUAACCAUCUAACUAACUAGACAUCUUACUUACUAGCUCAUUCGGUAACUUGUUAACUUGCUACUAGCAAACUAGCGAGCUCACAUUCAGCAAGCGGCUCUGGGUCAGCUGAUCCGAAGACGUAGAAUGACCAGAGCGCUCCCACGUUACUCAUCGUUACAUCCUGGCUGCCCCAUGGUGGGGUGGGUACACAUCUUCUUAUUCUUUAACCAAACCCUGGCAGGGGGGGGGGGCGGGGGGCGGUAGGUAACUGACUCAGCCGUUUCUUUUGCUUAGUCUCGUUUCUGGGAUCUGACGGCGCAGCACGGUAAAGCGGUGGUCUAACAUCUGGAAUAAUCACCUCCAGCUGUGGAGGCUGUCUCCCUCUGCUCUCAGUCCUCAGACCCACUCACCAUUACGGAUUUUUCAGUUAUUGUUAAUGAAUACUAUUUUAUGAAAGGCGGCCUGAGGUCUUAUAAUGUUGGAUGUUUUGGUGGAGACCGAAUAUGAAACUAAUCAGGCACGAAUCAGGUAGAACUCACCUGUUCUCUGAGCAAAUAUCCAACGGAGUGGAGGCGGAUGCUCUGUGAUUUCAUAACACAUCAUGCCGGGUUAUCUUCCUCACACUGUGUUUUAAGAAAACAUUGAUGGACAGAAAUAUAACGCUAAGUUGGACCAGUUUGAGCUGGCUUCAGUAGCUGUCAUGGAGGGGUUUCCCUCAGUAACUGUCAGUGGUGACUCCCAUCUGAGGAACCGGUCCUGAGGUCGGAAUACCAGCUCAACUGCCGGUAAAAAAACAUGCUUUGCUCAAUGCAUUGGAAACUGGAAUGUGGUCAUAAAAUAUGAGGGUGCAAAUUUUUAUUUUUAUUUCGAAAUUGAGGUUGUUUUUGUCCUAAUUACCAAGUGCUAUAAGUUUUAUUGGAAACAGUUGCAUUCGUCAAACUAAAGAUACACUCUCAAGUCAAGAGGAGUCGAUUUGAACACAUGACUACGCCUUAAACAGUAAGAAACAUCCACUACUGACACCGAAUCUAACACUGAUUCAGACUCAUCCUCUGGAUACCUAUGAUUUGAAUUUGACACCGGGCACCACACUGGCAGAGUGUGUUUGUUCAAGGAAAAACCUGUUCCAGAGGUAAACACGGCCGCACAACUAACAAGCACACGACAAAGUCAACACAACAUCAUUCGGGUCUAAUGGUUUUCAAACCAAACCGGAUAUUAAGUCUUCUAACAGCAUUCCCUUCUCCCUUCGGGCCUGAGGAUUAUCAAGGGCCCCGUGUUACACAAUACACCAUCACCCUAAGACCACUAAUGGACAAGGAAAACCUCUUCCUGAACCUUGAGAAGAAACACAGAAGAGGGAUCCCUUCACAUGGGACAGUUAGCAGUUAGGACCACAAAAGAUGGCCAAAUGGGAAGACAAAAAAUGGCAGCACAAAUAAAAGGAAAACUGAAGUUCAGUAAUGAGUUCCAAGUUCAAUGAAUGAAGGUGAACAAGUCUGUUUAUCUGGCAAGCAAGCGCUGCGUCUCCAGAGCUGUCCCGCUGCAGUUCAGUGCUCAGCUGGUGUUGUCUGUUCAUGACUCAUCUGGAAUGCCAAGGAGUUUCCACCCCCACCAUACCCUCACACUCACACACACACACACACACACACACACACACACACAGACACAGACACAGACACACACACACACAAACAGCACGGUGACAGACAGAGCUGUGCGUGAGGCUUUGGGGCCGACUGGGGGUACUCAGAGACGGGAAAGUACUUUCCCUAGGUGGGACAGGGAAGUUGGGAAUUUCCGUCAUAGAAGUGUUAAUGGUUAAGGAACCCAAAAUAGGAUGCGUCCUCUCACUGUGAUCACAUGUACCGUCUUACUGCCUUAUCGGCAUAUUAUUAAAGCGGAAAUAAAACACUAGAUGUAGUAAUCAUAAUUUACACGAUAUUUCCCAACUCGAUAACUCCUAAAAGUUGAAACACUGUCAGGGAAAAAGUAUUCUAAACAAUGUUUUCCAAACUAGGGUAGCGCCAUCUUGUCCUAGCGUGGCGUGUGACACCUCAAGGCUGGUUGUCUUGGGGGUGAUGCAUGGGGGUUCAAUUUAGUCUUGCCGCUGGAUACAGCAAUGAUUCAUAUGCAGAGUCCAAAAACCAAGAUCGGUUUCCACUUUCAUGCUUUGUCUCUCAAGCGGCAAAUGGUUCUUCAACGUUGGCCAGCGGCACUGAAACAGCAGAACCCUCCAGCUAGCUGUGAGGUGUAGUGAAGUGAGCACUACGUAAACGGCGCCUCUGUGGGGGAGAGGGGUUGUGAGGAGAGGAGGGUUCGCGGGACCAGCAAGCUGAAGUCUGCGGCUGCUCACUGUGUUAUGGACUUUUCCUCGUACAAGGCUGGGUGUACCGACCUUCCAUCCGUGUCUGCUAGCAGUUCAAUAGGUGUGCGCCGGGAGGAAAUUGCACAACGGCACGCCCAUCUGACAGCCAGAGAGGUCGUUACCUACUGAUGAGUCACCUAUAAUUAGUGACUCAAUGAGAGAUUCAUACCGACGUUUUAAACAUUGAACCGUUAUUUAGCCUGCACUACACCGUCGUACAGGCUAAAUAGCUAUAGUUUCUGGGAUAGCUAACCCAGAAACUAGGCUAGCUAAGGUAGCUAAACGACCGUUAUUGGAUGGGCCGCUCCAGGGUCUCUGCUCAGACUUCUCGAAGGGAGAGCAAUGAGCAUGGACACUGCCAAUACAUCCCUUUCAUAGCAGGUCUGGUAAAUACGGGCCAGGCUAACUCCUGAAGCAAGUGGUCUACGCAAGCCUCCUGACAGCGGAUCGAAGCGCGAGCGGUUGGUCUUUAAGUGCAGAGACCACACGAGCAGCAGGUGGUGUGGUCAACCCCAUCCGCACCGAGGGGAACGGAUGGCUCUGCUUUGUCCUCUGUACAAACGCGAGUUUGAGGCUCAUCUUUCCCUCCUCACUGGCUCAACUGUGUAAGCCACUGGUUGUCUCCUCCAAAUAACUUUGGAGGAGUCUUCGGCCAUGUGCACUCUGAAUGUGAGAGGUUGUAGCGUGAAGGUCUUCUUCCUGGGCUGACUUUCCAACUUACCAACCUCACGACUCAGUCCGUGACGCAGCGGCGGUGUGGCGGCAAGCCGGCGAGAGUAUACAUUAUCGCCAACGGCAAAUCUCUUCGAAUUUAACGUGUAAACGUUUUACAUCAAAAACAUCCUCGGGAAACACUCCAACAGACUUAAUUCUGUACAAUACCCGUCAACACUAGGCCGUUUCAUGCCCGCUUUAAGUGUGCACUGUACUCAAUUACCGCUUAAAAUGAACUGAUAGUAAAUGUAGUUAUUAAUGUGACUACAUUUGUGUUGAGAUGCGGACUCUGAGGUGCAUGGCUCCAAACACGAGGACGCUGGGUGUUGGUGUUGGAAGACAGUUUAUUGUACGGUUUGCAGCUAAUGAUACAUGGCGCGAGGUAAUGUGAUUUCGAUUGGUGUUUCUUAACGCUACUGCAUUGUCUGAACACGUGGAUGAGGAAUCAGGGAAACAUCUUGGUCAAUUGCUCCCACUCCGCCCAAAAGCCAUCUGGCACCACAACACUCGAACCAGGUCUAAUGUCUCGCCACUACCACAAGUGAACCCUGACCUUUUCCGUCCCAGGCCACACAUCUGUAUGCAGCGCAGCCCGACAGUGACAACGGGUCGAUGCCCGCACAGCAUUGGAGGAUCUGAGGAAACAGAUAAGGGUUUACAACCUCGGGGAGGGCAGCUUAUUGAUCGGAGAUGCAGCUCAGAGUCAAUCAAUGCUCGUACUACAAACCCAGCCAAACCUCAAUGGAAGAGGGGACCGCUGCCCGGAUUCAGGUUAAUACGUCAUACUGUACGUCGUUAUUAUGUUUCAUCUUGUUUGACUCUGUUCCGUUUCUUCAUAAAAUGGGUUAGAUAACAAUCGAUUUCUUUAAUUUGAUGUACUAUUGUCCUCCUCUACAGCUUUUAGUUAUCCAACGCGGUUCAUCAAUAUACAUGCAGUAGAAAUGGGGACUUACCUUCCAAGUCAUUGCUUGAGGUUCCUUCUUUAUUUUCUCCUGACGAAGCAGCUGCGGACCACAUGUUGGCCCUGGACCCGCUACCAACCUCACAGACACUCUUUUCCACGUGUAUUCAACGUGGUCCAUUUUCUUGAUGACCUCAUUGUGAGGCCGACAUGAUUUUCUUAGAGUUGAGUUUUACAAAACAAACUAAAUCAUUUUCAAUUAUUCAAACAAAUCCAAGGAAUAGAGAGGCCCCUAAAAUCAACCAGAUACAAGGUGGAGAUUGCUUUGAAACAAAUCAGCACAAGCUUUGUUAAAUAAGAGUACAUAUAAGAAAAGAGAGAGGAAUACAGGAGGAGAGAGAGAGCGACAGAGAGAUACAGAGAGAGAGAAAGGAAGAGUGGCCUGAUAUAUUGCAUGUUCAGCAGAUCAGACCAAUACAUUGAUUACAAGUUCAAUGCUUUAAUGGUUUUACAGAGUGACUUUCUAUUAUUAGUCUGAGAGUAGACCAACCACUGGAUUGGAUUGACUGGUCGAUUAUGAACAGGCUCUAAAUUGACUGUAAGCAGAGAUGGCGUCUGUUUAUCUGUACGACUCUGAGCGUAGUUCUUGAUCCACCCCAAAAACGUAAGAUAGUUAAUCGUUGUAGAUUUAACAAAAGUAUUCAUACUCUCCUUCUUCUAGUUACAGACUCGUACAAGGACUCCGGGAGGAAGGGUGCUCUGAAUGAUGUGACUCGAGAGGGGGAGAGUCCUGAGAGCCUGACUGGCUGCCUCAGUUAUGGGAGUGGUUCUCAAAGGGGCUGCAUGGUAUAACUGUUCAAACUUGUCCGAUCCCCAAAGAAAUGAUUUGGGAUUCGGCAAACACUGCAAUCCAAUGUUGAGACGGCUGAGAACCAUCAAACCAUGGAAUCAAUAUUGGAGCAACUGGAAUAGUAUCCAACGCAAUCAGAGAAUAUGGGAAUAGGAUAACUGCAGGAAUGAGAUAGAUCAGUCCUCAGAGAGCAGCACAGCUCGAUGGCCGCCCGAUGCUAACAGCAUUACCCUGGGCUGCGAUUGGCCGACACCGCGGGGUAUUUUUAGUGCUUGCGUGCAGUUUUUUUUUGGAUGUAGAGAAUUGAUACUUAAUGACGUUUCCAGAUUUUUUUUUUGUUUGAGUCAGCACCAGAAUUUCCAACAGGUCCUAAUUUCCUCCCUUCCAACUGGAGAUGAGAGUCGGAGGCAAACGGAUCAAUACACCGUUUGACUCUGCUGUUAGGCCUAUGAGUUGUCACAAUGUAAACUACAGAUAGCUGCAUAUAUGCUUAUACUUUGCGAAUAAUACAUAACACCAAUUAAAUAACCGUGUAAGCUUCAUAAUAAAUCAUGAAACAUUAAAAAUGGCUUUAAUAAAUUGA